RNAcentral lists this ribosomal RNA (489 nucleotides) under uncultured bacterium. Its description in RNAcentral is "partial 16S ribosomal RNA". It matches the Rfam family "Bacterial small subunit ribosomal RNA", at positions 30 to 508 of the family's 1533-position model. The record is from RNAcentral.
AUUGAACGCUGGCGGCAGGCCUAACACAUGCAAGUCGAACGGUAGCACAGAGAGCUUGCUCUCGGGUGACGAGUGGCGGACGGGUGAGUAAUGUCUGGGAAACUGCCCGAUGGAGGGGGAUAACUACUGGAAACGGUAGCUAAUACCGCAUAAUGUCGCAAGACCAAAGAGGGGGACCUUCGGGCCUCUUGCCAUCGGAUGUGCCCAGAUGGGAUUAGCUUGUUGGUGAGGUAAUGGCUCACCAAGGCGACGAUCCCUAGCUGGUCUGAGAGGAUGACCAGCCACACUGGAACUGAGACACGGUCCAGACUCCUACGGGAGGCAGCAGUGGGGAAUAUUGCACAAUGGGCGCAAGCCUGAUGCAGCCAUGCCGCGUGUGUGAAGAAGGCCUUCGGGUUGUAAAGCACUUUCAGCGGGGAGGAAGGCGAUACGGUUAAUAACCGUGUUGAUUGACGUUACCCGCAGAAGAAGCACCGGCUAACUCCGUGC